CUAGGCAUCAUCUUCUAAACACCCUAAGACCUAGGAGCAGCUCUAGAUCUCUCACGAAAAAACAAAAUCAGCCGCAGGACCUCUUUAUUCUUCACCUUCUUCUCCAUCAGUACCAAACAAACACACACACGCAAGAGACCAUCUCUAGCCGUCACCUCUCAACCCCAUUCCAACCUCCAUAGGCCGCUCAAGAGCCGGAAACCCGUCGGAAAAUGACGCCCACCACCUCUGAACCCUAGUCUUGAGUCCCAGCAGCCGCUUAAACUAGUCAUCUCUCCCCAAACAUCCAAUCUCCUUCUUCCUCACCUCACAGCAGUUACCCGCCACCCCCCUUUCCUCAAAUCUUCACGAAAAAAGGGGUUUUGAGAGGCGAAAAUUCGAAGAGGAGGGAGAAGGAGAAAGGUUUCAAGUGGGAUCGUCGCUCGAGGUUCAGGUUCAAAGUUCUUUGUCCAGCUUUCACCGAAUCUCUAGAAGUUCGUUCAUCUUGUCGCUGCUUGUGUCUUGUUCGAGUUCGAAAUUUCGUCGUUUGGCACUAUAUUAUGACUGUGUAAUUGCUGAAAAUUUCAGCUAAUUGAAGCUUUAAUUUCAGGUCUGUUUUUCUUUCUUCCUUUUUACUUGUUUUGAUAUUGAAGUUCAAUGUGACUGAAUGCCCCGUUUGCUAGGUGAAAAAUGCUCUGAAUUGCUGAUUCGUUUGCUCGGCCAGUGGAUUAUUAGUUUUGGUUUGUCUAUGCUUUAUUGCCAUUAAUCUCGAUUAGCUUCGUUUGAACUGAUGGCUGAAUAGUUAACGUUUCGUUGAGGCCUAGCGGAUUCUCCUUUGGACUUAAAUCAACUUGAGUUCCUUGUACCUUGAGAUUGAAUUGACACUUCAUUUUUCCCGGAUAAACGAUCCGAAAGUGAAACUCGCUGUUUUGUUUAAUGUCUCUAAAUGCUAUUCUCCUCAUAUGUUAAUUGAGCUACCAGAUUAUCUUGUCGUCUCGUUAGAGAUAGUUUGGGACAUAAUCGCAUGUUGAAAUCAGAAAAAAUCAAUUUUCUCAUGAGAUAAGUUGCUUGUUCUUGUUUGCAGACCCGUUCUCUGUGCCGAUGUAUAGUGAAGCACGCUUUCUGAAUGUGGCCUAAGCUAGUUGCAUCAUCUUUAAUACGUUCUUAGUUUAUUUUUGCCCCUUUAGAGUAGUCCGCGUAUUUGGAGGGUGUCUGAUUUGUCUUUGCAUUACAGUUCCGCCCAUAUUCAUUGUUGAGAUUAUAUGGAUUAGCUUAAACGAGUUUUACAAGCAUCAUGUAGUAACAAUAUCUAGGAAAUGGCACAGUAGUAUUUCAAGGGUGUUUAUGUCUUGCAUGGCUUAUAUAUAUUUUAGCUCAAUCUGUUCCUUUCUCUCACAGUGUAUACUUAGGAUGCAAUAUUUGUCUAGAUGCUUACUACUAUUCAUAUGUGUGUGUUGAUCUACAGGUUUUUUAUUGAGUGCCCAGAAGUUGGUUAUUGUUAAUUUUCUAAUUUGAACACAUUCACUUUCUGUUUUUUUCUACAUUUCUUUUGAUUGGCUUUUUUUAUUUUGUUUGUUUCGUAUAUUUUGGUUAAUUUCUACUAGGUGUCUUUAUAACUUUGCUUGGUGAUUCAUAUCUGUUGGCAUUUCUUCAAAGUGGUCAUUUAUUGGGGUUCAUGCCUGUUAAUUUUUUUGGGGCCGAGGUCCACCGAAACUUUGUUGUUGUUCUUGUUGUUGUAUGAAUACUCAUAAUCUUUG
Molecule: long non-coding RNA, 1736 nt
Filed under: Nicotiana tabacum (common tobacco)
Lineage: Eukaryota; Viridiplantae; Streptophyta; Magnoliopsida; Solanales; Solanaceae
Description: long non-coding RNA (NTAB_LNC014343)
Source: RNAcentral